CCUGCUUUUCUUAGCGGGGGUUGGGCUUGCAGUCCCGGUCCCCAUAAUGUACAGAGGCAGAGGGAAAGGGCUCCAGCCCCCUUGGUGUCACGCUUCGGUGCCAACGGUUUCCAGUCAGUGGUUCUGUCCCUGAGGGUUAGGACACUG
This is a small nucleolar RNA of Phyllostomus discolor (pale spear-nosed bat), 147 nucleotides long. RefSeq annotates it as small nucleolar RNA SNORA57. The transcript has a single exon. The record is from RefSeq and is a predicted model, not a curated record. NCBI's taxonomy places the organism in Eukaryota, Metazoa, Chordata, Mammalia, Chiroptera, Phyllostomidae.